CCUUAGAGUUUGAUCCUGGCUCAGGAUGAACGCUGGCGGCGUGCCUAAUACAUGCAAGUCGAACGAAUCUCUUUUAGAGAUGAGUGGCGAACGGGUGAGUAAUACAUAGGUAACCUGCCCCUGUGCGGGGGAUAACAGGAGGAAACUCCUGCUAAUACCGCAUAGCCAUGAGCACCGCAUGGAGCUCAUGCCAAAUAUCCUUUCGGGGAUAGCGCAGGGAUGGACCUAUGGCGCAUUAGCUGGUUGGCGGGGCAACGGCCCACCAAGGCAACGAUGCGUAGCCGGCCUGAGAGGGCGGACGGCCACAUUGGGACUGAGACACGGCCCAGACUCCUACGGGAGGCAGCAGUAGGGAAUUUUCGGCAAUGGGGGAAACCCUGACCGAGCAACGCCGCGUGAGCGAAGAAGGCCUUCGGGUCGUAAAGCUCUGUUGUAAAGGAAGAACGGCGCAUACAGGAAAUGGUAUGCGAGUGACGGUACUUUACCAGAAAGCCACGGCUAACUACGUGCCAGCAGCCGCGGUAAUACGUAGGUGGCGAGCGUUAUCCGGAAUCAUUGGGCGUAAAGAGGGAGCAGGCGGCCGCAAGGGUCUGUGGUGAAAGACCGAAGCUAAACUUCGGUAAGCCAUGGAAACCGGGCGGCUAGAGUGCGGAAGAGGAUCGUGGAAUUCCAUGUGUAGCGGUGAAAUGCGUAGAUAUAUGGAGGAACGCCAGUGGCGAAGGCGACGGUCUGGGCCGCAACUGACGCUCAUUCCCGAAAGCGUGGGGAGCAAAUAGGAUUAGAUACCCUAGUAGUCCACGCCGUAAACGAUGGUCACUAAGUGUCGGGGGUCAAACCCCGGUGCUGCAGUCAACGCAAUAAGUGACCCGCCUGAGUAGUACGUUCGCAAGAAUGAAACUCAAAGGAAUU
Molecule: ribosomal RNA, 909 nt
Filed under: uncultured bacterium
Lineage: Bacteria
Description: bacterial SSU rRNA
Rfam family: Bacterial small subunit ribosomal RNA
Source: RNAcentral